RNAcentral lists this ribosomal RNA (778 nucleotides) under uncultured Neocallimastigales. RNAcentral describes it as "partial large subunit ribosomal RNA". It matches the Rfam family "Eukaryotic large subunit ribosomal RNA", at positions 23 to 638 of the family's 3401-position model. The record is from RNAcentral. Lineage: Eukaryota; Fungi; Neocallimastigomycota; Neocallimastigomycetes; Neocallimastigales.
GAGACUCUGUGCGCGUGCAUAUCAAUAAGCGGAGGAAAAGAAACUAACUAAGGAUUCCCUUAGUAACGGCGAGUGAAGCGGGAAGAGCUCAAAUUUGAAAUCUUCAAGGUUCUACCUUGACGAAUUGUAGUUUAAAGAAGUGUUUUCUGUUGGAGUUUUGGUAAAAAGUUCUUUGGAAUAGGACAUCAUAGAGGGUGAGAAUCCCGUAUUUGACCGUUACUUUCCAGCUGUGUGAUACACUUUCAAAGAGUCGGAUUGUUUGGGAAUGCAGUCCAAAAUGGGUGGUAAAUUUCAUCUAAAGCUAAAUAUUGGCGAGAGACCGAUAGCGAACAAGUACCGUGAGGGAAAGAUGAAAAGAACUUUGAAAAGAGAGUUAAACAGUACGUGAAAUUGUCAAAAAGGGAAGCGUUUGACACCAGUGUUGUUUAGUUGAAAAUCAAUUCAAUAGUUUUUGAUUCUAAGUAGUAUUGACUUCAUCAGCUUGCUGCUUUCUUCUCAGAAAUUAUUGAAUGCACUUUUCAGUUAACAAGUCAACAUCAAUUUCUUUUGUUGUAAAAGGGUAAGAGGAAGGUGGCUUGCGCUUCGGCUCAAGUGUUUAUAGCCUUUUAUCUCUGCAAUCGGAGAGAUUGAGGUCUGCAGCGUAGAUCCUUCGGGGUUAGAUACAUUGGUGCUAAGCUAUAGCCUUGUAUAGACAACUUGUUGACUAUGCUCAGUCAUGUAGCUUACUCGCUGAUGCUAUUUUACCUACGCUUAGGAUGUUGACAGCAGUAUAGACUGU